RNAcentral lists this ribosomal RNA (250 nucleotides) under uncultured bacterium. RNAcentral's name for it is "partial 16S ribosomal RNA". It matches the Rfam family "Bacterial small subunit ribosomal RNA", at positions 524 to 773 of the family's 1533-position model. The record is from RNAcentral.
UACAGAGGUCCCAAGCGUUGUUCGGAUUCACUGGGCGUAAAGGGUGCGUAGGUGGUGAGGUAAGUCGGAUGUGAAAUCUCUGAGCUCAACUCAGAAAUGGCAUUGGAAACUACCUUGCUAGAGGAUUGGAGGGGGGACUGGAAUUCUCGGUGUAGCAGUGAAAUGCGUAGAGAUCGAGAGGAACACCAGUGGCGAAGGCGAGUCCCUGGACAAUUCCUGACGCUGAGGCACGAAAGCUAGGGGAGCAAAC